AUUUCCACCAAGGCGGGAGUACUGUACUGUACUGGGGCUUGGUUGUCAGGCGGGGGAAAGGUGGCAGGAGUUUGAGCUGUCUGGUGUAGCGAGCAGGAGGGGCUAGUUCCUGAAGCCGAGGUCAUUAUUAUCCAGAGGACAGUUGGCCAGCUGAUCAUCAAUCCUGCCAAUGAGAUUCAUCUCAAAAACUCUCUCCCCUACAAGAACUGGACUGAAUUUCCACCUCAUGUUUAGAGGACAACUGGCUUAGCCAACUUAUUGUCACAUUUUAUU
Molecule: long non-coding RNA, 273 nt
Organism: Cynocephalus volans (Philippine flying lemur)
Lineage: Eukaryota; Metazoa; Chordata; Mammalia; Dermoptera; Cynocephalidae
Exons: 3
Source: RefSeq, a predicted model, not a curated record